UACGGAGGGAGCUAGCGUUGUUCGGAAUUACUGGGCGUAAAGCGCACGUAGGCGGCUUUGUAAGUCAGGGGUGAAAUCCCGGGGCUCAACCCCGGAACUGCCUUUGAUACUGCGAAUCUCGAGUCCGGAAGAGGUGAGUGGAAUUCCGAGUGUAGAGGUGAAAUUCGUAGAUAUUAGGAAGAACACCAGUGGCGAAGGCGGCUCACUGGUCCGGUACUGACGCUGAGGUGCGAAAGCGUGGGGAGCAAACAGG
RNAcentral lists this ribosomal RNA (253 nucleotides) under uncultured bacterium. RNAcentral describes it as "partial 16S ribosomal RNA". It matches the Rfam family "Bacterial small subunit ribosomal RNA", at positions 524 to 776 of the family's 1533-position model. The record is from RNAcentral.